UUAAGCUUUAAACCCUAAACUCUUUUUUGAAGAGGAGCGGCCAGGCCCAAACCCUUUGUAUUAUCCCUACGUACAAAUAAACCUGGCUGCUCCUCCUUCACCCACUUCAUCUUUUAUAUCUCACCUAAUGCUAUACAUCACUGAAAGGUAGUUCUUGACGGCAACAUUAGCUUCUUGUCCUUGAUCUAUUGGAUCAAAGUUCAGUGUCCUCAAGAUUUUCAGACACAAGCUUAAGCUACCACAGACAGAGAACCAAGUAGCAGUUGCUUUCAGGAAAUACAAAAACGGGUUUAUUUAAGAUGAAGAUGUAAAUAUAUUUAGAAGCCAUGAGUUAGAUCAAUGGUGGCCUCAUGAAAAGCAACAAAGUUGAAUGCGAGAAAAGGCAGAACUACUGGCAGUGGUGCUUCCUGCAACAAUUGAUUGAGGCCUUCUCCAAUUUUCUGACUCAUAAAUAUGUUCCGAUUGCAUGGUGCUAUCCAUGCAGUAGACAGAUCCUUCCACUUGAAGAACUACUAAGCAACAACGUGGCACCGUAGAGGGUAUACAGUCUAUUUGAAUACAAAUUUAAAAGUCUUGUUUUGAAUUUUUCUAAUGAAAAAAACUCUCAAUUUUCAAUAGAAAAAUUCUCAAAAAUUCUUCUAAAGUUGUAUUCAAUCUGACUCAUCAUAUUAUAAUUAUGCAUCAAUGUACCCUCUUGCAUGAUCUCAGGCCCUCGAUGUAAUAUUUUUACUCCAUGGCAGUUUUCUACAUGUGUGCUUCAUUUAGAUCCUGUGUUCUUGUACCUGCCGAAGAGAGUUCCCCUUGGAUACUUCAAAACCUGUCACUGUUUUAAUCGUUUACUAAAUAUAUAGCUUUGUUUGUAGCAGUAAUUAAGUCUAAGCUUUUGCACUCUAUGGAUGUAAUGUAAUAGUACUCCUGAGUUUUUAUUCCCCGUUGCUGUUUGCAGCAUAUAUUGUAUUAACUUAGUGUGUUCACCUAACUUAUAUAAAGAAAUAGUGAGAGUUUGGUGAGGUGAACUUCAAA
Cajanus cajan (pigeon pea) is the source of this 1023-nucleotide long non-coding RNA. RefSeq lists it as uncharacterized. The record is from RefSeq and is a predicted model, not a curated record. NCBI's taxonomy places the organism in Eukaryota, Viridiplantae, Streptophyta, Magnoliopsida, Fabales, Fabaceae.